Salvia splendens (bonfire salvia) is the source of this 1162-nucleotide long non-coding RNA. RefSeq lists it as uncharacterized. NCBI's taxonomy places the organism in Eukaryota, Viridiplantae, Streptophyta, Magnoliopsida, Lamiales, Lamiaceae. The record is from RefSeq and is a predicted model, not a curated record. The transcript is spliced from 2 exons.
AAGGAAUUAAUAAUAGUAAAUAUUUUUAUACUCCCCAUUUCUUAACAGUACACCCUCCCACUCCACUUUAUCAAUAAUCAAAUAUAUAAAGAAGAUAAUUAAUACAAUAAAACAAGAGUUUCACAUCUGAGUAUCCUACUCUCUCUCUCUUGCAGCUUUCUCUUUCAAUUUCGUCCAAGAUUUUUCAAAGAACACACCCUAUUUCUCAAAUUUGCAACACACUCAAAUUAAAGAUUUCAGAAGCACCCACACACAAAUCCAUCUCUCUCUCCCUCGAUUUCUUUCACAGGAAGAACAAAACAAGACCCCUAAAUUUGCUGCUGCAGGAUCGAUGCUGCAGUGUCCGUGUUCGCCCGCUCCGUUGCCGUUCAGGCAACGUCCAGACCGAGCAGCUGCUGGGCGGCUCGCACCCACCGUCGUCGCUGCUCCAGCCGCCCCAGCUCGCCGCCGUGCGACUGGACCUCGCCGCCGCUGUUGUCUGCCGAGACCGCGCCUGCUCCGGCAGCCUCCGAAUAGCCCCGAUUUGCCCCGAAACUAACCCGUUCAGCCCCGCAAGACCCCGAUUUCGCCUUGAUUUAACCCGAAGAUAAGUUCUUAAAUUUGAUUUCGCGAGAUAAAGUUUGAUUCUUUAGUUAAGUAUGCUUUGUCUUUUUUUUUUGAUUGGAGAUUUAUUUAAGAUUAAUAGAUGGUAGUGUGGGAUGUAGGGAUGCAGUAGUAUGAAAUAGGAUUUGGGUGGAAGGAGGUGUAUACCUUCAACAAUAUGGGACGUGUAGCUGUAAUGAGGUUGUGGCUUCUAUCCUCCCUUCUCUCGGUUUUCUGCCAGAAGAAUAUAAUGAAUGAGUUGAUUACCAAAAGGAACGUGCAAAAACGAGGGGAAAAUUUCUGCAGAAUUACCUUGAAUCAAUGUUGUUAAGAAUCUGUCUUGGUUUUCUUGCUGCAGAGAACGAUCACGGAGGAGGAAAAUCUUUUCACGGAGGAGGAUAAUCUUUAUAAAAUCUUUAUUUAAUAUCUGAAUUAAUGUCGAUUGAUGAUCAAAUCAACAUGGAGAAUAUUUAUUUUAAUUAGUUUAAUUCACAGUCCAUUGUAUUUUAUUUUAAAUUGUGCAGUCCCCAAUUUAUUUAUCACGGACUGAAUUUUUAUAUUAUUUAUUCAAUUUAUCCAA